CUUAAAAGACAAUAGAAAAGGACUUGAAAAGCAACUUCAGCAAUUAUCACAUACAAUAAGCCUCAUGUCUGAAAGCAGCCAGGGGAAAGUAGCUAGAGUAAACUGAACACAGACGAGAGAAAAAAGGCAGCUUUUAGCAGCUGCCUGGCAGGGAGAGGCAGAAAAGAGCUGGACUUCCAAGGCACAAAUCAGAGGACAAACUCAGAAGAACAAUGUACGGAAGACUCACCAAAGGUCUUCACACAUCAUUCAACACACUACCAGUAUCUCACAGGCCCACAGCAAAGAGAUUGUAGUUGAAGGGCAUACUAUGCAGUCAUCAAGGAACAGAUUCUGCCAGGAAAUACACCUAUUAUCUUGGAAGAUUUUGUAGAACCACUGAUUUCUCACUAAUUGGAAAUGAGAGUGAGCUGAACAUGCUGCUACCCAUGCCAGAGUGUGCAAAGGCUGCUGCUCAUUCUGAAUAAUCCAAAAUCGCACAACGAUAUAAUGUAGUAGUAAGAAAACCUCAGCAAGUAUGCAAGGUAUUUGGAACACUCUAAGGAGGACCAUAGCAAUUUUACUUAGAAGGAAUCACUUUGUUUUGGGAUAGAACAUGCACUAAAUAUAUUUUCAAAACAGGAAAUGCAGUCACCUGAAUGGUUCUGACUCGUGUACAUCCAA
Molecule: long non-coding RNA, 663 nt
Organism: Rhineura floridana
Lineage: Eukaryota; Metazoa; Chordata; Lepidosauria; Squamata; Rhineuridae
Exons: 3
Source: RefSeq, a predicted model, not a curated record